CACGUAGGAGACGAGCGUUAUCCGGAUUUACUGGGCGUAAAGCGCGUGCAGGCGGUUCAGCAAGUUGGAUGUGAAAGCUCCUGGCUUAACUGGGAGAGGUCGUUCAAAACUACUGAACUUGAGAGUGGUAGAGGGAGGUGGAAUUCCGGGUGUAGUGGUGAAAUGCGUAGAUAUCCGGAGGAACACCAGUGGCGAAAGCGGCCUCCUGGACCAUUUCUGACGCUCAGACGCGAAAGCUAGGGUAGCGAACGGG
This 253-nucleotide ribosomal RNA is filed under the name uncultured Bellilinea sp. Its description in RNAcentral is "partial 16S ribosomal RNA". It matches the Rfam family "Bacterial small subunit ribosomal RNA", at positions 524 to 776 of the family's 1533-position model. Lineage: Bacteria; Bacillati; Chloroflexota; Anaerolineae; Anaerolineales; Anaerolineaceae. The record is from RNAcentral.